ACCAGAGGAAUGUGCAGAGAAAGCAGCCAUGCUGCUGCAAGCCUCCGCUCGCUCCUCGGCCGAACUGCCGAUUUAGCAGCCUGCCUCUGUGUGACCGGUUGGAGGUGGGGGCCUCAGUCUGGGGGGAGGCCCUGAGUCUGCUUUGAAGCCAAAACAGGGUUUUGCCCUUCCGUGAGUAAGCGCUUUGUAUGCAAGGCCGGACAGGACUUUGCUAACCUUAAUUGAGGACUGCGCCAAGUAAAGGGCGAAGUCACUCCUCCAGUCGCUGGGGGAGUUUAUCCAUGUUCCAGAUGGGCAGGCUGCAGCGCUCAGCCAACUCAUGCAGCAGACGCCUAUCUGAGGAAGGGAGAGAGUGCCUGACUGCCGCUCUCCCUUCUACUGGAUUAAAAGCAAGUUGUAAUAAUGACUGCAUACGGCUGAACACAAAAGCACUUGCACCACACAGGCGUUUGGGAACAACAUCUUCCAGAGCCAGGCUACUGUCUGUAGCCUGUGUCCUUUGCUCUGAUAGCUCUGAGGCCGUGGGCUGUUGCCGUUCUUGCUGAUGCAAUGCAGCGAGGGCUGGGGUGAAGGAGAGUGCAUACCUGUGUGUCAGAGGUAGGAGCUCCCCUUUGGCGAUGAUGGAAAGCACAGCAAAUUCAAAUCAAAGAUGAGAGGGGGUUGCUUUGAAUUGCUGUAUUCCAGAUGUAUCUGAGGCAAUCUCCCUCUUCACUGCACGUAUCGUGGUAGCAAGAGCAAAGAUCACAGCGUAGCCCAGGUUUUCAUUUGAACAUGUCCAGGCUGGCACACAGUUGAGGUAAGGACAAUGUGCUUUUGUAGAUUUGAUUUGUGUCAGAGCUAGGGGCAGAGCCAGGGAGGGAAUGAAAAGCCUGAAUAUCUGGUCUGCUACUGAAAAGUACAGGCCUCUGAGUAAGAUGGUGCAGCUCAUUUGAGUUAGCUGGAUGUGCUAGACAUCUCCUAGAACUCUCUUCCCCAGCAUCUGUAACUUAUUCCUGUAAAAUGAAAAAAAGAAGGCAUAAAAUAUCAAGGUUUAAAGCAACUGAAAGAGCUCUCACCUCCCUGCAGGAAUACAUUUUUGAAUAUAUCCUAUAACUUGCUCAGCGUUGUUGAUGUGUUUGACUCUCUGUUGCAUGCAAAGAUAAUUGCUCCACGAAGAACUCAGACUGCACUGAUAAGAAAGGCCAGUUGGUGCAUCUAUUUUAUCCCACCUCCUUCAGCGAAAGAUUAUUUCGAGUAUCUUAUCAGAAAGAAGCAGCCUUUCAAAAGCUGUACCUUGAGGAGUGCCCAGAGUGGAGAUCCAUUCCAGCUCCAGCAGCAGACCCUGUGGAUGUCCCUCCACCUCAUCUCUGGGAACAGAGUUAGUGAUGUUCCCUGGCUGUUUGGUUGCUAUAAAUGAGGACAUUCUCCCCGAAUGCAAGUCAGCCCAGAUGCAGUGCCUGCAUGUCUGGAGUCAGUCUCAGCAUGGUCAGAACAAGAACCAAACAGCUCCAUGAUUUGUGCUGCACACAGAGGCCUCUCUCACUGGGGAGCUGCUCUUCACUGCGAUUCUCACCCUCUGCACCGGCAGCAGUAGUGUCCAGACAUGCAGACAAACAUUUGAGGGUGACUUUUUUAGCUCCAUCAGUGCAGGGCUAAGCCUGCCCAAACUGCCUUCUACCAGCCCAGCAACAGUCCCAGCCCACGUGUCAGCAAAUGCUAUAGGAAUCUCUUCUGCUGAGGUGCAGGCUGCAGUUCCUGGUGCUUUUGUUGACUCUGUAGGAGGAGUGUCCGGUCUGCUGCUGUGGUUUUUUUUCUGUGUUGUUUUUUUUCAGCAGCAGACAAACAGCAUCUCCAUCUUUCCUCCUCACAGCAGAAGAAUCCAUUGAGAUAUAUCUAACUACUGGUUUUGUCAUUAUCUUUCAUGUAGCUGCCCCACUUUUCUCUUAGAAAUUCAGUCCAUUUGCCUGUCAGCAUGCUCUGUGGUGCACAAGCUUCUGGUUUACUUUCCCCAAGGAUUAUUCUGUUUCAGCAUUCCAAAUUAUCUGAGACAGCAGUUCAUCCUCCUCUGAGCACCUAGCUAGAGGGGGACGAGCCGAAGGGUCCUGUCUGCUACAACAAGACAAAGCACACAAGCUUACCUGUUUCAUUUGCUUCCACUAUCGAGUCCUUUCUGUAAUUCCUCUGACUCCUUCCUUGCUGGGCCUGAUAAUCUCACAGAGCUGGUUUACUCCAUGUCUACGGGUCCUUAAAGGGGCAGGUUAGACUUAGCACUGUUUGCAAAUACAUCAAGGAAGAUUUGUCUAUGGUAUAUAAGCGUACAGUCUCCUACAAAAACACUUUUUUCCUGUUUGGAAAUUUGUGAGGUUAAAUUAGAUAUGUGUGCAGAACAAACUCUGAAAGGCUCUGAGCACUCUCCGCAUAUAAUUGUCUAAGUGGAAGCGUGGUAGAUGUUAGGAUUAGCGUGAAGUACAUCAUACCUGGGACAGAGGAACCACUGUGAUGCUUUGCUUCCACAGCCUGAAAUACAUAUUACUUACAGAUGUUCUUACAUUCUUGGCCCUUACGGCUUUCCAGUGCUUCUUAACACACUCCUGAGCUUACAGAGGUGGUGCUGACUAGCUGCAGUACUUCUUUUCCUAACAGAAAUGAAGUUGUUGAGUGUGGCAAGGGAUAGUUUCUGUCAAGAGAGAUCAAGGAAUGGAAAUGUUCCUCUUCUGGGAUGUGUGUCAAGGUGUUCCAGAGACCCUUAGCCUAAAAUAGAGGAUGAAGUAAGAACAAAUGCCAGAGGCAAAGGCAAGAAAGGAGAAGUAGGCAAGCUCAAUAUUUCAGCAGGUGGGCAGGAAAAUGAAAAUGAGACAUGCAGACUUUUCUGGUUUUAAAUGCUUGAGAGCUGCUCAGAAACUAUUGUGAUGGGGUCAUUUAUAAACCUGGGCAGGCAAAUAGGAGUCAAAUGGUUGCGUAGUUAUGAGCAGCAAAACUUUCCAGAGCAGCGAAGGCUGGAAAUAACAUAAAUAAGGUAGUUGGGCAAUAGGUCACGGGGUAAAGAGUCCCUCGUAACCAGUUCAUCCAUGAGUAAGAAAUAAUGAGAAGUUCUUAAGUGAGAGGCAGCAGAUAAUCAAAGGCAGGGUCGUCACAGGACUACGGCUCUUGAAUGUUGACUUUGCAAAUAUCUCAGUGGUCAUUAUUGCUAUUUCCCUUAUCAGCCAAAGAUGUGCAAUGUGGUAGGUAGUCUUUUUCAAAACGCUUACCAUUUGAAAUAGCAAGGGAAAAAGAACAAAAGGAGAUGUAGAAAGGUUGGAAAGUACUGUUUGAGCAUGAGGACACAAAACAGUAGGUCUUGAUACACGGCUGGUGAGAAGCAAAGGAGCCAGGGAGUAGCAGGUAAAAUUUAUGGCAUACGCAUUUCUCACACUGAGAACUUCCUCAGUAUUUUGUCUAGUUUGAAAUGAAACGUCCAGAUAUUUGGGGGAAGACCUGGCUGUCACUGGGAGGCUUACUGGAAGCUAUGUUUGUAAAAAUCAGCACUUUGGGUCAGAAAGCCCACUCCAGAAUGAAUAACGAGUGGAAGCACCUUGAGCGCGAUGCGGAGCUUUCUGACACCCUUACAGGAACUGAAGGAAUGCCCUUAUCCUGGUGAGCCCCUCUUAGAAAUGGUAAUGAUCCCAAUAAAGAGGUUUGGAGGUGUGCCCAUGGGAACAGUUAGAGACGUGCAAAAAUGUCUCUGCACCACAGCAGAAGUGCAGCUAUUGUUUAUUUAUUCCACGGCUAAGACACCUUAGUAUGCAUAAGGCUUUGUAGGCAAAUGGUACAGGUCUGUGCCUGAGGAGUUUGCCUUCUGAGCAAGACAGAGCACAACAAAGGGAGGCACAGCGAGGAAGUGUGUUGGUACAUGUGUGAGCGGCGCGUCCAUGAGAGGCAGCAGUCACCGCCAGCAGAGGUCAGAGGCAAGGGUGUCACCAGGGCCUCCCUGUGGCUGUCACCUUCCCAUGAGCCUCCUGCCGUGCUGCCGUGCGGAGGGAAGCUCUCGUUCCAUUACCCGCAGGGUGUGACGCAUCUGCUCACAGCUACAGUCCUGGAGGAGUAACCUCCAGCCUCUGCAGACCAUGUUCCCACUGGCUCCUUUUAUUAUAGUAGCAGCCAGAAAAGCAGCUGCAUUGCACAAACAGCAGCGGCAAAAAGUUAAAUGAGUGCUUGAAUUCAAAAGUGAAUUUUGGGGGCUUCUGUGUCGCAGUGCUUUAAUGCACAUCCACUCAGAGUGUGUAAAUUCAUUUGUGCGAAUGAAUUUGAAGCUGAAUUCUAAACGUGAAAAAAAAAAAAAGGUGGAAUUGCAUGUUUUGUUUGUUGCAAAACUUAUCACAGAUAGCUCCCAAAUGUGGUUCCAAGGCAGUAUCGGCCGGUACCUCAGUGCAAUUGCAAACGUUCAUCAGACAGACCUGUCGUUUUGAGUGAUGAAAACCUUCAUAGUUCCUAACCUGGUUGCAGAUAAUUUCAGAAGAAAAUAAUAUUAAUAGAAUAUGUUUUUGUUGCAUAUUACGUGCUCGAUUCAAGCAUUAUGUAUGCAAAUCGGGUAAUUUUGUACCUAAUUGCCUGAUUUGCAUGCAUAAAUGUAGGUUGCACAUGUGCAAAUGAUUUUAUUCAAAUGUAGUUUAUGCCUAAUACGUAGAGUGGCUGGAAAUGUGAAUCUGUGUCUGUUGGUUUGAAGCACUUCUAAUUGUCACUUAAUGAAAAAUCAGAAUCGGUCACUGGUUUUGGAGGUCAGCUGAAAUGCAGUGAGCUGCAGGGGAUGGCUUUGCAGGGCCAGUAACCCUGGAGCUGUGCACUUUCCUCGAGAAAUUAGCAAUGAUGUAAAUGCCCAGGGAGAUAAGUAAAUAAGAAAGAUCGCCUUGCUGUAAAUGGCAGCAGAAAAUCACAGGAAAACGUGGCACUUGUCAAGUGGAAAAAGACAGAAUCACUCAGAAAGAAAGGCGGGUUUCGAAGCCUAAGGUGGUUUAGCAGACAAUGAAACCUAAGAUGAAAAGUGUAAAAAUGCGGUACUAAAAUCUGAGUGCAUUAAAAAUUCAGAUAAUUUCAUGGCUAGGAAAGGAAUGGGACUGACAGUUCUUGUGAAUGAAGUUAUUUAACCCAGGCAAAGGACAUAAAAGCCUCGCUUGUUCCACCGUGUCACGUGCCUCACCUCUGAUCAGGAAGGGAUAGAAGAGAUGGAUCUGGGGGGUUAUUAGGAAAACUCGGGCUGCAGGGCCCACUUUGACAUGGGCCUCCUGUGCUGUGCCCAGCGUGAGGUCGGCGCUGCCGUUCUCAUAGCGGUGCGGAAGGGCAGGACGUGUCCUUGAGGAAGGAACCCGAAUCUCCCAACAGCACUUUUCACCAAGGUGUCAGCUGUAGGCUAAUAACAGCAGCAGGCUGUUUUCUCUCCAUUACUCAGAACUCCCCUGCAAAUGUUAUUUGCAUACAGACGGGUGACAAAUCCUCCUAAAAUAAGCGUGUAGAAACACUGGAAGCAAUUUGGAUGCAGCUAUGGACAUACGAUUCCAAAUUCCCCUUUACGCUGAUGUGAAGCACACGCGAGGUCAAGCACCUUCUACACCCCAUUUAUGCUGGCAAGGCCCGUGGUAAGAUGUGGGCAUAAGUCGGAAUUUGGCACAGAAUGCUCUCUGUCCGCUUGAGAGCAGGUUGGUCACAGCUCUGCUGACAUGGCUUUGGUAUCAGAUGGUCUCUAACCAACGUAGCUUCACUAGGAAGAAUUUCUAGCGUGGUUGUGUUUACGACGACAAGCCGAUGCUUGUCUUGGAGUAGGUUAUUUCACUUGAGAAAGGGAGACAAGCUGGAGUAAAUGUUGCUCUCCAUGGGAAGAUGCAGCUUCCAGCUGCAGGAAGGGAAGGUGAGGAGGGUCGCAUGCCACCCCUGCAUGGAGUUGGUGGCUGAGGGGCCACGGCUCUGUCGUUCUGCACCUGGGAGUGCGCCCUGCUGCUUUCCUCUGCGAGCUCUGCUGCGUCUGCAGCGCUCUGCUGCUUACCUGCCCUGUGCUGCUGCUCCCCAGCGCGGAUUUGACUCUGAGCUCUUGUUUUGCUCCCAGGAGCACACAGCGGUUUUGAUGUAAAUGAGAAUUAAACUCACCUUGGUGGGUUUUUUUUUUUUUUUUUGUCUACUCUUCUAUUACUGGGAGAGAACACAAGUUGACUAACACCAAGCCUUCCUCUUUGUUUGCAUGCUAACCUCACCAGAGCAUUACACGCAGAGCUCUGUGCAAAAUAAAUAAACCCAAACCCUGGGCUCACUCCCAACUUGCUAUCUGAGUGUUUAGCUAAAGCACAACUUCUGUUAUAUUGGAGAGAUGCUGUGUUAUUUGACUAAGUACUGUUAUUUCUACUUAUUUUUAUUCCAUCACAGAGUAAAGACACUUCUUAUUUUCCAAUUUUCCAGUAGGAGUGAAAAAUGCUGCCUGAUAGCUGUGGAGAUUGAAGGUUUCUAGUUGUUCACAGAAUGUGUGUAGCCUGGGUAGUAUUCACUUCCCGCUCUACAGCGUCCCAUUCCUCCCUGGCUUAGCAUGCCGGGUUGAUUCCAUCCCUGAUCUCUUCUCAAAGCCCUUUAUUUCGGGUGUUCUCUGCAAUUGGGGCGAUUACUGCCCAGUGCAGAGGGCAGCAGCUCUGUGAGCAGUGCGAGCCACAAACCCAUCUCGGCCGCACAGAGCGCCCAUCAGCCCUGGCACUGUCAGGGUAUGGGGGACGGGGGGCAUCUGUGUGUCAUGUGUGGGGUGACGGGCACUAUUGCUGUCCUCACAGCCACAGGUCCAGAAGGGGAGGGCACCGUGGCUGCACUCAGGGCCUGACACUCCUGCCAGAAUCCCAGAAGGUGAAAAGCGUUUGCACUGUUCAUCUUCUUACUGUCACUUUGGAGGUUACCUUCAUUUCUUGACACAGAUCCAUACUGUAUUUUUGCAGAGAUACAGUUUUCUCCCGGUUGCCCUUUUUCCUCUCUUUGUAAUCCCUGGUUGGCAGUGAGAGUGGUCUGACAGAUCUCUGUGACUGAUAAGAGAAAUGAUUGCCUAAGUGAGAAUUGUUUCUGGAGCACAUUCCUCCCCUUGGGUUAAAUAUAGGUUGCGGCAUCCCAGCAUAAUGAAAAGAUCGGGAAGCAUUUACACGCUGCUAUAGUUGAUGCCUUGUAAUAAUUGAGUAAAACAUUCACAAUUGUGAAAAUCACACCUGUAAAGAUGAGCUUAGUCACUUUCCUGUUAAUGAGUCUGUAUUUUCAGUCAGCCUCUCCCUUACCGCAUUCAGCACAUGCACUAAAACAUAUCCCAGCUCAACCCAAUCCUUCAGCCUUUGUGUUUUAUCGCCUUGUGAUUUGCUGUUGGCUGCAGCAGCCUGGUUUAUUACCAUACCGUGUGCACUGCAGUACUCGCAUAGCAUUGUGCUGCAGGAUUGCUCAGCGCGCUGGACCAGGGAUGUCCAAUCCUUUUGAUUGUAAAAAACGAAAGCAAAUCUGGAGAGGUUCAACCACUGUGAAAAACUAGAGCCGUGUUGGAGCGCUGUCACAGAGACAUAACUCAGAACGCAUCAACAGUUGUUGUCAACUCUUCACUUUGUAACCUGAAAUCAUCUGCGAUGCUGGGAUGCAAAUCUUUAGGUUCGGAAAGUGGCUGAAAGCUGAGCUGUAAAAAUAAAGCCUGAGAAACAUUUCUAAUUCCGA
Long non-coding RNA from Gallus gallus (chicken), 7665 nucleotides. RefSeq lists it as uncharacterized. The transcript has 2 exons. Lineage: Eukaryota; Metazoa; Chordata; Aves; Galliformes; Phasianidae. The record is from RefSeq and is a predicted model, not a curated record.